This is a non-coding RNA of Rattus norvegicus (Norway rat), 977 nucleotides long. NCBI's taxonomy places the organism in Eukaryota, Metazoa, Chordata, Mammalia, Rodentia, Muridae. The record is from RefSeq and is a predicted model, not a curated record.
CUUCCUUCCUACCUACUUCCUUCCUACCUACUUCCUUCCUACCUACCUACUUCCUUCCUACCUACUUCCUUCCUAUCUACUUCCUUCCUUCCUACCUACUUCUUUCCUUCCUACCUACUUCCUUUCUUCCUACUUCUCUCCUUCCCUCCCUCCCUCAUCUCUCUCCCUCCCUCCCUCCCUCCCUCCCAUUCUUCUCUCUGUCUCUGUCUCUCUCUCCCUCCCUCCCUUCUUGAAAAAGGGUCUCAACAAAGUAACUUAGGUUGAAUUCAAGCUCAGGACGGUCCUGUUCAGCCCCCGGAGAGUCAUGGUCCAUCGUUCAAAAGAUGCACCCCUAGAACAGCCAUGGACCAGGCCCAGCAGUGUGCUCAGGGGGGUGUCCCACCUUCAGUUGAUGCUCAUGGUGAAGUCAGGAGUCGUCAACCUCAGAGCAUUUCAGACUCAAAAAUAAAUUUCCAGGCACCACAUAAUCAGGCUGCAGGCUCAUGAACGAUAAGAAAAAAAAAGAACUUUGAAUAUUAUGCUAGACUAAAGAUCAAUAGACCGGAAUAUCAGAUACCUGCUCUCAGACUCGCACCAGAGCCUAGAUCAUCCAGUUUGAUGCCUCCUCAAAGGAGCUUCCACUACUCAAGGAAGGGAGGAAGAAAGGAAAGAGGACAGGCUACCUCGGUCUUCUGGAAGAUUCCAGGGGGAGAAAAGAGGAAGUGGAGGAGAAGGCAGAGGAAGAGGAGGCGAUAGGAGAGGAGGAGGAGAUGUGGACCAGUCAUUAACUGAAGGCCCCGAAAGUGUGACACAGCGUGGCCACGUGUCAACAUAAUGGCGACUGAGUGUGAUAGGAUUUUAAACGAAGGGUCAACGUUACACAAUUCAGAAGAAUUUCCAAGAUGAUUUAGAAGUCAGGAUACGGAACCCACCAGUGAUUUAGAACUUCUGGUAGUCGUUAUCGCAUAAAAUUAUUAUAAAUUAAUGGGCUACACUAA